AAACCCAGUGUGAUUCGUCACACUAUCAUUAACUGAAUCCAUAGGUUAAUGAGGCGAACCGGGGGAACUGAAACAUCUAAGUACCCCGAGGAAAAGAAAUCAACCGAGAUUCCCCCAGUAGCGGCGAGCGAACGGGGAGGAGCCCAGAGCCUGAAUCAGCAUGUGUGUUAGUGGAAGCGUCUGGAAAGGCGCGCGAUACAGGGUGACAGCCCCGUACACAAAAGCGCAUGUGCUGUGAGCUCGAUGAGUAGGGCGGGACACGUGGUAUCCUGUCUGAAUAUGGGGGGACCAUCCUCCAAGGCUAAAUACUCCUGACUGACCGAUAGUGAACCAGUACCGUGAGGGAAAGGCGAAAAGAACCCCGGCGAGGGGAGUGAAAAAGAACCUGAAACCGU
Molecule: ribosomal RNA, 395 nt
Filed under: Salmonella enterica
Lineage: Bacteria; Pseudomonadati; Pseudomonadota; Gammaproteobacteria; Enterobacterales; Enterobacteriaceae
Also listed under: 2 other names
Description: partial 23S ribosomal RNA
Rfam family: Bacterial large subunit ribosomal RNA
Source: RNAcentral